GCCACCUUAGCUCAGCUGGUAGAGCGUUCGCUUUGUAAGCGAAAUGUCCAGGGUUCGAGUCCCUGAGGUGGCU
This 73-nucleotide transfer RNA is filed under the name Candidatus Woesebacteria bacterium. RNAcentral's name for it is "tRNA-Thr". It matches the Rfam family "tRNA". From Rfam's summary of the family: Transfer RNA (tRNA) molecules are approximately 80 nucleotides in length. Their secondary structure includes four short double-helical elements and three loops (D, anti-codon, and T loops). Further hydrogen bonds mediate the characteristic L-shaped molecular structure. tRNAs have two regions of fundamental functional importance: the anti-codon, which is responsible for specific mRNA codon recognition, and the 3' end, to which the tRNAs corresponding amino acid is attached (by aminoacyl-tRNA synthetases). tRNAs cope with the degeneracy of the genetic code in two manners: having more than one tRNA (with a specific anti-codon) for a particular amino acid; and 'wobble' base-pairing, i.e. permitting non-standard base-pairing at the 3rd anti-codon position. Lineage: Bacteria; Candidatus Woeseibacteriota. The record is from RNAcentral.